Molecule: long non-coding RNA, 2708 nt
Organism: Anguilla rostrata (American eel)
Lineage: Eukaryota; Metazoa; Chordata; Actinopteri; Anguilliformes; Anguillidae
Exons: 2
Source: RefSeq, a predicted model, not a curated record
GUAGAAGGUUGGGUAGUAGUUCCGGUAUAUGGUAUAUGAAUGUAUAUCCGGAGUGAAUAUCUCUGGAAGAUCAGAAAGUGCCCCCGUUUUCCACCCCUUCCCCGGCGGUAGACGGGGUUGAGAGCCGUGGGCUUUGGUUGUGGUCUGAUGUGGAAACGGAAUAUACUGGAAUGUGUAUUUUAAAAGUGUGGACCUACUGCAUGUCGAAAAUACACUUAUAUUUUUAUCAGAAGUGUAAUAUAUUGCCAUAUCUUAAAGUGGACGUAAUUCGUACAUUUGUCAAUAUAUUAUUAAAUAUAUUUGUAUUGCAACACUUAUUUCAGUAUAUUUUACACACACACACACACACACACACAGACAUCCAAAUACAAUACACUUUGCUGGGUUGUUCAUUUGCCGAGAAAGGAAACGAAGUCAUCACCAAAUGGUCUGUGUAGACAAAAGGUUAUUCUAUUUUUACAUUUCCUGAUAUGACAAGCGCAGUGCUAAUACCGCUGUUAAAAGAAACUGUUAAAGAUACCGCGGGGAAUCCGUUGAUUAAAAUGAAAGCACUGGUCGAAUUUUUGUAAAAUGGUAGCUGUAUAACGCAUGUCACUUAAAUCACAUAAACACGUCCCCACCUCUCUAAUGCCGGCCAAGAGUUUAUGAUAUUCAUGUGAUAUUUUUGGUCUCUAUGGUUUUGAUAUUAUUGCUUAAUUACUUAUUGGAGAGAUUUAAAAAAAACCUCUAACAAAUGAAACCCUUUUUCCGGUUGCUGUCUCGCUAUUUUACGCGUCACCUCGCUCACUGGGUAGGUAAAGUGCGCGUUGGUAUCCAGUGGAAACGGGUUGUGACUGUGCUGUGGGGUCCGCGUGCCGUGUUGUGCUUUUGAAGAACUGCGAGGUGAGAGGGAAGCUACGAGCCCAUUUUAACCGUGACACCUGCUGUUUUUGGCCACCCAGCUGUUCAACAACCGCUUUCAAAUUUUUAUUUUGCCACCUGCUUGUUCUCGCUCCAGUGCCUGCUUCCUUUUUUCGAAUUUACAUUUCAUUUUUGUGGCGCAGUUUGAACUCACUUUGCAAGCCCUCUAUAGCACUUUUUGGUUCAGUGAGAGGAGGAGGUGCAGUGAGAAGAGGAGGCCCAGUGAAAGGAGGAGUUGCAGUGAAAUGAGGAUCUGCAGUGAGAAGAGGAGGAGGAGGCGCAGCAAGAGGAGGAGGUGCAGUGGGCAGGGUCUUUAGUCUGAUUGCGGAACUGUGGGGGACUUACCUUGUGUAUGUUAGCCACAUCUUCAUCAAGUAAAACCCUGCAGUCACAGACACUCUCAUGCACACACACACACACACACACUCUCUCUCUCACACACAUACACGUACACACAGACACUCACAAACACAGAGUCACAGAUACUCUCACACACACAUGCACACACACACAUACUCAUACUCACACACACACGUACACACAUACAGUCUCACACACAUACACGCACACAGAGUCACAGACACUCACACACACGCAUGCAGUCACAGACACUCUCACACACAUACAUGCACACACACACACGUACACACAGACACUCACACACAUGCACGCACACACACACUCACACUCUCUCUCACACACACACACACUCUCACACACAUGCACACACACACACAUACACACAGAUGCAUACAAACACACACAGGUACACAUACACUCACACACAUGCAUACAAACACACACAGGUACACAUACACACACUCUCUCACACACACAUGUACCCACACAUUCCCUCAAACACAUGCUUGUGCACACACACGCACACACACACUUACACACAUUCACAUACUGUUUGUGUGUCUGUGUGAGAUAGAGUAUGUCACACUCAUACACACUCUCCCUCACACAGACUUUCUCACACACACAUGUACACACACACUCUAAAUGGUUUUAUGAUAAAAUAAAAACCCAGUAAAUAUAUUUGGUUUGACAUAUGUACAGUUGGAUGUUGGAUGCAUCUACCUAAAAAGGCUAUGUAGGGUCUGGUAUAUAACACACUUGGUACAUUUCCCAGGUUUAAAUUCAGUGGUGAAUAACCGUCCCUCCAAAACCCUCCGAUUUCAAGCAGGUCGGAGGAUUACAGGUUACCGGACGUACAGUCGGCUGUUUGGUGUUAAUGAACUGCAAUGCGCCUCUGUGAACACUAGAUGGCAGUGGUAUAUGUCUGCACAUGUUUAUAUGCGGACGCACAGCCUCACACACAAAGCCAGCUGUUUCUGGUAAAAUGACGACGAAUGGAUACAUGGUUAUACUGAAACUCUUUUUUUGUGUGUGGUUUUUUUUUUCACGAAAAUCUAAAUAAAGUGUCCAUAAUAAUGAUUUUGUAGCCUUCGGUUUGUUCUGCGUGUUUUCGUAGGAAACUGCCAAUGAUUAGGCAUUGCAUCGUUUUUUUAUUUUUACAAUUAGCGUUUCUUCACGACGGCUUAUAUACAUAUUCAAAGACGUGCUCCAAUGUUGGUAUUUCUUUUAAGAAAAGUCGAACAAAUGAGGAAUAAAAUUAAUCCUACAUUUAUAUUUUAAAUUCGCGUAGGACAAACAAUUUGCAGUCACAUAUGUAUAGUGUCGUCCUUGCAUUCGUACCCCACGAUAUCAGAUGUUCCUGCAAGAUUAUUUUUUAAUGACUGAAUUUUAAAUUUUGCUUACCAGCAUGUCGUGUUCUUCAAUAAAAAAGCGAGAAGACAUUGUAA